This 468-nucleotide ribosomal RNA is filed under the name uncultured bacterium. RNAcentral describes it as "partial 16S ribosomal RNA". It matches the Rfam family "Bacterial small subunit ribosomal RNA", at positions 28 to 507 of the family's 1533-position model. The record is from RNAcentral.
GACGAACGCUGGCGGCGUGCUUAACACAUGCAAGUCGAACGGAACGGCGCUGCUUGUGUGGGGUGCUCGAGUAGCGAACGGGUGAGUAACACGUGAGUAACCUGCCCUUGACUUUGGGAUAACUUAAGGCAAGUGGGGCUGAUACCGGAGAGGAGCUGCUGCUGCAUGGUGGGGGUUGGAGUGUUUCGGCGGUUGGGGAUGGACUCGCAGCUUAUCAGCUUGUUGGUGGGGUAGUGGCUUACCAAGGCUUUGACGGGUAGCCGGCCUGGGAGGGUGAACGGCCACAUUGGGACUGAGGUACGGCCCAGACUCCUACGGGAGGCAGCAGUGGGGAAUAUUGCACAAUGGGCGGAAGCCUGAGACAGCAACGCCCCGUGCGGGAUGACGGCCUUCGGGUUGUAAACCGCUUUCGCCUGUGACGAAGCGUGAGUGACGGUAAUGGGUAAAGAAGCACCGGCUAACUACGUG